UACGAAGGGGGCUAGCGUUGUUCGGAUUUAUUGGGCGUAAAGAGCUCGUAGGCGGUCUGUCGCGUCUGCUGUGAAAACCUAGGGCUUAACUCUGGGCGUGCAGUGGGUACGGGCAGGCUAGAGUGCGGUAGGGGAGACUGGAAUUCCUGGUGUAGCGGUGAAAUGCGCAGAUAUCAGGAGGAACACCGGUGGCGAAGGCGGGUCUCUGGGCCGUAACUGACGCUGAGGAGCGAAAGCAUGGGGAGCGAACAGG
This 253-nucleotide ribosomal RNA is filed under the name uncultured bacterium. RNAcentral describes it as "partial 16S ribosomal RNA". It matches the Rfam family "Bacterial small subunit ribosomal RNA", at positions 524 to 776 of the family's 1533-position model. The record is from RNAcentral.